Non-coding RNA from Pelobates cultripes (western spadefoot toad), 390 nucleotides. The record is from the annotation of a GenBank genome assembly. NCBI's taxonomy places the organism in Eukaryota, Metazoa, Chordata, Amphibia, Anura, Pelobatidae.
CCUCUCCCUUAACAAGCAAGCAUUAUGCUAGCAUUUCCUGCUGCUCUAUUACGUUGUCUGCCUACCUUUAAGUCAUCAGAAAUAAUCACCCCUAAAUCCCUUUCCUCAUAUGUUGAGAUUAGAACUCUAUCAAAUAUUCUGUACUCUGCCCUUGGAGUUUUACGUCCAAGAUGCAUUAUCUUGCACUUAUCCACAUUAAAUGUCAGUUGCCACAAUUCCGACCAUUUUUCUGGUUUACCUAAAUCCUUUGCCAUUUGGCUUAUCCCUCCUGGAACAUCAACCCUGUUACAUAUAUUAGUAUCAUCAGCAAAAAGACAUACCUUACCAUCAAGACCUUCUGUAAUAUCACUAAUAAAAAUAUCAAAGAGAAUGGGUCCAAGUACAGAGUCC